UCUAUUUCAUCCCGCGACGGCACAAAUUCUCUGCAUUUGGUUUUUUUGAGAGAUUCGUAAGUGAAGAGGGCAUACUUUUCCAUUUCCGUUCCUGGAAACUGGUCACGGGCCCUGUGACACAAACACUGAGCUUAAAUCACCUGCUGAUAAAAUGGAAGAUCUGUGGGGCGCACCAGGGACUCCUUGACUAAAUGACACGGAGGCGGUGCACACACAGUGCUCCAGUGGUGAAGUGACAUGUGCAAGUUGGUGGGAGAGCCAGGAGUAGGAUCCAGGAGUUCGGGCUCUAAACCAUUAAGACUACUUCUGUAGUUAGGUUUAAUCGCUCUGGCAAGAUAGGUAGCAGUCUAUUUUAUGAGUGGUGAGUGACUGACUUUUCUUUACCGUGUUAUCAUUAUAGAAAAUAACUUGGGGCUCAAAUGAAAUUUAAAAUAGCUCAGAUUAGGAGCUAUGUGAAGCUGCAUCAUUUUUAGGGACAACUCUGACAGGAAUCUUACCUGAGGAGCAGCACCCCCAGGUUUUAUGCGGGGCCUUGGCCACUGGCCCUGCACCCAGGACUCCACUUCCCAGCCUGGGGCGCAGGUCUCAGCAGCUGGCCCCACUCCCUGGCCACUGGCCUCAUGCCUGGAGCUCUGUGCGCAGGGACCUGCUCCCAGCCCCAUUCCUGGCACCCUGCUCCCAGCCCCAGCCUUUGCCCCCUCACCCCUGUCUAGGUCCCCCCUCCCAGAGACACAGCCCUGCUUCCGGCCCCAGAUCUGGGGGAUUGGGGGCAUGGAUGGGGAGGGAUGAGGUAAGAAGUAAAAACUGCUUUCAGCACCCCCACUAUUAAAAGUGUUCCAGCGCCACUGCUCAGUAGCCAGAGUUCUUCUUAGAGCAUGCCCACUGCUAUACCCAUCAAGGGGUGUAGCUUACUCUUCCUGCAUGCACAGCCAGCUUAAAAGAGUGAAGAGCUGCCGCUCCUGUGUUCUACCACUGCACAAGACUCAGCGGGGGCCCCUUGCAGGUCCCCUUCCCCGUCCCAGGAAAUCCAUGGGGCAGCAGGGUAUAACUUGGGUCUGAGAGAAGAUGAGAAGAAAAUCUGACACACAUGCCACUUGAUAUCCUGAUGUUUAGCCCCAUGAUUGCCACCUUAUCUUCACAGAACAGUCCUGAUUUGGAUGGGCUUCUCUCUUUGACAGGCAAUAUGAGUUUUAAAAUAACUUAAGUUUAUCUUUUUAAGGAAAUCAAAUUCAUAACCAUCGUGCAACGACUCUGUCCCAGUGUUCAAAGUCUAUGAGGUGCUAACCUGGAGGUAAAACAUGACUUGGCUGGCGUGGUUAUUACACCUGUUUUUUGGAAAUCAAAGUUCACAAUAUCUAUCUAAAUCAAUGACUUUUCAAAUUAAAUAGCCUCAAAAAUAAUACAUGUAUAUUGGGUUCCAUGUUUUCCCCACACAAAUGAUGAAAUAUGUAACAGUUUUAAACUGGAGAUUGCAGUGUCUUAAGGCAGCUGCAGUCUCCCCUCCAGUCAGGAAGAGGGGGCCCCGAAGUGCGUAGUGAUAAUCAGAGAAGGAGAUGUGUCCAGGGUGGUUGAUGGGAUUAAAUUAUUUAACUAAUCUCUGUUGCAGCCUUUACAAGGCAGGGCUUCUAUGGAGCCGCUGAUGGGAAACUAAAGUUGUGCUCCCUAGGGUAUAGUAGGUAACCUGGGGGAAAGAGAGAGCAAGUUUACAUGUCUGAAAAACUUACGGUUUAGAUUGAUGUCCCCAUAUGGCAACGGCAGUAAUGGGGAGUGCAGUGGAUGAUGCGUGUAACGGAGAAUAGGGUUUCUCUUAUAAAUCUGUUCAACAACCUCAGAGUUCAGGCAGUUCUCCUGGUGGGUUUAAAAAAAGAAAAGGCAUAAUUCCUGGUUCAGUGUGAAUGAUAAUCCAGUGAUGGAUGCAUGUGAACAGAUUGGUCCAAAAAAUUAUUCAACUGCAGUACCAUGUGAAAAAGUCUGUUAGUAAAAUUACUUGUUGCUAAAAGAUACAGCAAUAAAAACUGACCUGCAGAAUUUUCUUCAGGGGGUCAGGCAUCAUUUCAGAAGGGUAUGAGAAGUGCCAGCCAUUCUUCUACACAUUGAAGAUGUAGAAACUUGUAUCAUGGCCAAGUGGCAUUCUCAUCUUGUUUUUAUGCCCAGAACAGAAUAUGCUAUACGCGACUCUCCUAAAUCCAGUACACUUCAUAGUCCUGCCAGUUUCCCUACUUAAAGAAUGUCUGGCCAGAUGUUUUCAGAGUUUGACAGACAAGAUCAAGCAGCUAUUCUCUAAAACACACUACUAUAAGUAAUGAUCAUGAGAGGUGCUUGGUAUUUCCAAUUCCCACUGGCAUCAAAGGGAGUAAUGGGUGCUCAGCAGCUUCCAAGAUGAGGCCCAGAAUGAGCCACGCUUUAAUGCUUUUAUUGCACAGACUAAUCAAAAGAGCUGUGCAGAGGAUGGAAAAUCCAUUUUUGGAAGAAUUUUGAGGUUUCAAAAUUUAUUUUCAUUUCACAUUGGUAUGAAAACAAAACCUUUCUAAAAUUUUUGCAAAAUGGAAUUGUGUCAAAACAUGUUUUCCAAUCAAAAAGAUCAGGUUUUCAAUUAAUCUCUCUCUGGUGAAAAGUAGCCACACAGCCCUGGACCUUAGAAACCUUCUGAAGACACCUGCAGUUUUUAUCUUUACUGAAGAUCCACCACAUUAUCUGCUGAAGUGAGACCAACAGAGAUCCACUGGGAGAGAUGGUAGGCUGGAGCGCAGCUCAGUGCACACAAAAACCUAAUGCUCAUGAACAAAUUACCUGUCUCUUUGAAGAUUUUCUCAUCAGGCGGUACCACCGAGCAGAGGCUAUUCAGGACUAGGGUACCCAAUUUCAGGGC
Molecule: long non-coding RNA, 2869 nt
Organism: Mauremys mutica (yellowpond turtle)
Lineage: Eukaryota; Metazoa; Chordata; Testudines; Geoemydidae
Exons: 4
Source: RefSeq, a predicted model, not a curated record